CGGGUCGCGGCAGAGAUGGCGGAGCCGGGUGAUGCCGGGGCUGCGGCCUCGGGCUCGGGUCUGAAGCGGCUGGCAGCGGCCGGGGACCUGCGGAGCGUGCUGAUCACCAGCGUGCUCAACCUGGAGCGCCUCGAGGUCGACCUCUUCAGGGGUCAGCACCACUGGGUGCCCGUGACGAGGCGCCUUUUCGGCGGGCAGAUCGUGGGCCAGGCCCUGGUGGCAGCCGCCCGUGCCGUCAGCCGUGACCUCCAGGCCCACUCGCUGCACUGCUACUUCGUGCGCGCAGGGGACCCCAAGGUGCCGGUGUUGUACGAGGUGGAGCGGACCCGUACUGGAAAGAGCUUCUCCGUCCGCUCUGUGAAGGCCAUUCAGCAUGGGAAGCCUAUCUUCAUCUGCCAGGCCUCCUUCCAGCUGUCCCAGCAGAGUCCUGUGCAGCACCAGUUCACCAUGCCCACCGUGCCACCCCCUGAGGAGCUGCUGACACAGGAGGAGCUCAUUGAGAAGUUCCUGCAGAAUCCUAACUUGGCAGAGAGAUACAGAAAGCAUCUCAACAGGAUCCAAGCUGAAGAUGUGCCGAUUGAUAUAAAACCUGUGAACCCACCAGAUAUACUCUGCACAGAGCCACAGGAGGCAAAGCAGUUCUUCUGGGUGCGAGCCCGAGGCUACAUAGGAGAGACUGACAUGAAGGUGCACUGCUGUGUGGCCGCCUACAUCUCUGACUAUGCCUUUCUGGGCACGGCCCUACUGCCUCAUCGUCAGCACAACAUCAAAUUCAUGGUGUCCCUCGACCACUCCAUGUGGUUCCACGCGCCCUUCCGAUCUGACCACUGGAUGCUGUACGAGUGCGAGAGCCCCUGGGCUGGUGGGUGCCGAGGGCUGGUGCACGGACGCUUGUGGCGCAGGGAUGGGGUCCUGGCUGUCACCUGCACACAGGAAGGAGUUAUCCGGGUCGAGCAGAACCCAAAUCAGAGUAAACUCUAGCCAAGGAAGCCAGACACAGCAGUUGGACUAAGCUCCGUGUGCUGGCGUUGAAGCCUGCACCAGAAUACCUGUGGCAGAGGCAGGACCCCACGCAGCAGCAGAAGGAGCAGCAGAAGAGAAGCAGCUUAGGCCCACAGGUGGAAGUGUUGGUGCCAGCACUUCAACACUGAGGGGAGGAGAGGGCAGCACCAGGACACUUGGGGCUGGCUGUGCCCUGCAGCACACAGGUCAGAGAAGAAAGUGCUACUGCAACGCUCACAUGGCUUCCUCUUCUCACUUCUGCUGACCUCCUUGUGCCCUUAUGGUAAGCUGCUGCUGCUGCUGCUAGCACCUUGUUCUCCUCUUUGGAGCUGAGCUGGAGAGGGGAGCACAGCAGCCACAAAGAAAGGGAAGAACACGGCCGUCCCCACCUCCUGGUUUGGGAAGUGCAAGGUCUUCCUGCUCGUGGGUGUCUUUGUGCGGUGCCUCAGGGGGAAGUGAAGCUACACAGAUACUGCAGGAACCCCUGUUCUUUCUCCUGUCACGGCUUUAUUAAAGUCCUUUUUAUUUUCUGUUA
Centrocercus urophasianus (Greater sage-grouse) is the source of this 1537-nucleotide RNA transcript. It is a transcript of the gene named acyl-CoA thioesterase 8, with no coding region annotated. The transcript is spliced from 7 exons. The record is from RefSeq and is a predicted model, not a curated record. Lineage: Eukaryota; Metazoa; Chordata; Aves; Galliformes; Phasianidae.